AUCUACUUGACGAGUUCCAAAUAAGACGAAACGCGCGUCCUGGAU
This is a non-coding RNA of Schistosoma curassoni, 45 nucleotides long. The record is from Rfam. Lineage: Eukaryota; Metazoa; Platyhelminthes; Trematoda; Strigeidida; Schistosomatidae.